GUGCCAGCCGCCGCGGUAAGACGGAGGAGGCAAGCGUUGUCCGGAAUUAUUGGGCGUAAAGAGCGCGUAGGUGGUUUUUCAAGUCAUGUGUGAAAACUUCAGGCUCAACUUGAAGAUUGCACAUGAAACUGGAUAACUUGAGUACAGCAGAGGAAAGUGGAAUUCCUGGUGUAGCGGUGAAAUGCGCAGAUAUCAGGAGGAACACCGGUGGCGAAGGCGGCUUUCUGGGCUGUCACUGACGCUGAGGCGCGAAAGCCAGGGGAGCAAACAGGAUUAGAUACCCUGGUAGUCCUGGCUGUAAACGAUGGACACUAGGUGUGGGAAGUUAUCGACGCUUUCUGUGCCGAAGCUAACGCAUUAAGUGUCCCGCCUGGGGAGUACGGCCGCAAGGCUAAAACUCAAAGAAAUUGACGG
Molecule: ribosomal RNA, 414 nt
Filed under: uncultured bacterium
Lineage: Bacteria
Description: bacterial SSU rRNA
Rfam family: Bacterial small subunit ribosomal RNA
Source: RNAcentral